UGUAAGUAUAACAAAACUCAUAUUGCAGGCAAAAACCUGUGAAAAAUAGAUUUUAAAAAAAUGUGAAUUUUGUGACUGUACUAUUUAGUGUCAUUGUUUUAUAGAUACCAUAGUGAGAAAGGAUUCAUUUCGCAACACCUACGGCUUCCACUAGAUGUCAACGAUCUUUAUAAAGUUGUUUGAAGCGUCUAUGAUAAACAGAGAGCAAAUUAGAAUCCAAGGAAGUUGACAUGUCAUCACUUCAUUUUUUUGCGCCUGCGCAUAAAUCUGAGAAGCAAACCACAUUUGUUCCGGACCUGGGAUGCCUUCCGGACCUGGGAUGCCUGCCUUCUGAUGGAGAUAAUCAAAGCAUCAUUGAUUCUGCCUGCGGAGCUUUCCAGUGGGGGUCUGCGAGGAAAACCGGUGGCGCAUUUGAUGAAGUGUGAGGGAAAUUCCCGUCUAACCAAAAGAGGACGGGGACCUGCCCAGAACAGACUCUUACUGUGAACUGCCCAGGAGGAGACACAUCAUCCAUGAACAAUUGAGGAACGGCAACUGAUUUCAGUUAUGGUGAAGGUGACCACAGAUGGUAUCUAAAUGCAUGGAAGAUAAGUUGGCCGAGAGCAGAACAGUGUUAACCUCAACACCCCCCUAAAAAAAUCCUGAAAAUGUUGUUCAGUAUGGUCCUUCACCACUUCUACCGUGAGACCUGAGUCCAAGCCAGCAACCUGUACACAGCAUCCAGAAGCUAUCGACUGCCUUUUCUCUCAUGUUUUUUUUCUCAGGAUUGUGACAUGGGUCCAUGUGGAGUGAGCAUGGCGAGAGAUCCAGUCCAAACCUCUCUCAUGCUGCCGGUGUACUGGUAGGAAAAUGGACAAGAUAUAAUGGACUGUAAAGGACAGUGGCGGCUCAGGUGAGAGACAUUAUCAAGGGCCAUCCACUUUGAACAUGUGCCAUUAAAAUGACAAACUGAAACACUAUCUGAAGAAGAACAUGAAGAAACGCCAGGAAAGGAAUGGUGUCGUGAAGUGUGGGUGGUCUACCGUGCCCGUAAUUGAUUUAGGCUUAUCCAAAAUGGUUUAUUUGGGGUAUCAGGUUGAUUGUGGAGGUCUGCACAGAGCAUCAUGUUUUUUGCUCCUCCAGAGGAUGGAGAAAGAGUUAGAUGCCCACUCUGGAUGAGCCCCCUUUCCCCCUGUAGAUACGGACGAUGAGUAAUGAUUGAAGGUUGUUUCUUUUAACAAGUUGAAGGUAAGGUCAUCUAAACCCUUAACCUUUUUACAUCAUGUGAACACUGAGCUGACCUUUUGGGGGUCUUAGCAGAAUUGUUAAACAACUGGGUUUUAUAUUUUGACUAAGUUGAUGUCCCAGGGACAGUUAGUGACAACAUAGGUCAAUGCAACGUAAUUGUGGUAAGAAAUAUGGAAACAAUGGUUAACAUUGAGAGAUGUAUUCACCUCUGAACCACACAGAUCCCUUGUGUAUGUGUGUAUUCUUUUGAUACUCAUUCCUGUUAAGAGAAGUAUAACCUUUAUUAUGAUUAUAAUAUUACCAUACUAAGUGGAUUGUACAACCCAGAAUGAAGGGUUUGAAAUGAUGAAGUGUCUCGGUUUUUUUCAGUGUUGAUUUUCCUUACUUUAAUAGGAACAACAUUGAACAAUAAAUUACAAAUAAUAAUACUAAAAUCCUUAAACCCAGACAUUAUCUCAAUAAAUGAAAUGUGAAAGCCCCCAGGGGCUCUGGGGGAGUGGGAAUAUGUGUAAAGUCUGAUAUGAUGAAAGCAUAUAAAAUUGAAAUUAUCGAUAAAGCCAUAGAAGGAAUUAUUGGUUUGCGCGUCGAGCAUAUGGAGUCAGAUUAUUGUUUUGUUGUGUUUUCAUGCUAUUUGCCACCUGAACAGUCCACGAGGUAGAGAUGCAUCCUCCUUCUAUAGUCAUUUGUUAAGUCAAGUAUACCUAUGUACAGAAGCAGAUGCUAUUUACAUAUGUGGGGAUCGAAUUGGGAGGAUAGAUGACUAUAUAAAUUAUAUUGAUGAUAUUCCAUCGCGUGUUGCUUUGGAUGACUUUGUUAAUCAUCAUGGGGAAACCCUAUUAGAAUUCCUUCGGGACUCUAAAAUGUGUAUCAUUAAUGGAAGGAUAUGCCCCUUAAACGAUAACUUUACAUCCAUAUCUGGCAAUGGAAAAUCUGUGGUGGACUAUAUAGUUACCCUCCACAACUGUCUAGAAACUUGUUUUGAAUUUAAGGCGUUAUCUCCUACACAGAUGGUUGAAGAAUGCGGAUAUUUUGACUUAAUUGGAGAGAAAAGUAGACUUCCUGAUCAUUCUCUUUUAUUUAUGAUCUUUUCUGUUGGCCACAAACUUUCUCAACCAGGUAUUGCUGUGCAUCACACGUGGCAAAAUAUACCCCGCAUUGGCCUAAAUGUAAGAAAGGAAAUGUGCCAAAUGACUUUCUAUGUUCUGAAAUGGCAUGUAGAGCUCUGGUGGAAGUCAUCAAAACUCUGGAAAGAUGCCAAGAAACACCAUUUGAUUUAGAUGUGCGGUAUGAAACAUUUUGUGAUAUUAUAUACUCUGAAACAGGAAUAAAGAAUCCAUCCCCCAAGUCCAGGAAGGUUUACAAGCCGAACAAACCUUAUUGGAAUGAUGAGUUAAGGGAUCUAUGGUCAGUAAUGCGCAAGGCUGAGUACUUAUUUUUACAGUGUAAAGAUAGGAAUACAAGAGAACAGUGUUGGAAGGAAUAAAAAACAGCAUGUGUUUGAUAAAAGACUGCGCCUAUUUAAACUGAGAUAUCAGAGAGGGCAGUUAUUACACCUUGAGGAGAUACAGACAAGAAAUCCUCAGCAGUUUGGAGCCAAAUAAACAAGUUAGGAUCAAAACGACAUAAGAAAAUUCCAAAGGAAGUCAGGGAAGAGCAGGGGGGGCAGAAAUCUGAUAUUACACAGGUACUUAAUAACCUGUUGGGGCUACAGGUUAGCAAUGAACCCCGAGUCGGGAUUGCUAACAAGGCUGGAAAUUCAAAACAU
This 2992-nucleotide long non-coding RNA is filed under the name Salmo salar (Atlantic salmon). RNAcentral describes it as "lncRNA (ENSSSAG00000108299.1)". Lineage: Eukaryota; Metazoa; Chordata; Actinopteri; Salmoniformes; Salmonidae. The record is from RNAcentral.